Molecule: ribosomal RNA, 277 nt
Filed under: uncultured bacterium
Lineage: Bacteria
Description: partial 16S ribosomal RNA
Rfam family: Bacterial small subunit ribosomal RNA
Source: RNAcentral
GAUUAACGCUGGCGGCGUGCCUAACACAUGCAAGUCGAACGAGGUAGCAAUACCUAGUGGCAGACGGGUGAGUAACACGUGGUCAACCUUCCCUACAGUGGGGGAUAACUAGCCGAAAGGUUAGCUAAUACCGCAUAACAUCUACGAGUGGCAUCAUUUGUAGAUCAAAGGAGCAAUCCGCUGAAGGACGGGGCCGCGUCCCAUUAGCUAGAUGGUGGGGUAACGGCCUACCAUGGCACCGAUGGGUAGCUGGUUUGAGAGAGCGACCAGCCACACU